AAAAAGGAGGGGAUGGCUUCUGUCAUGAGUGGCACACAUGGGGCAACUCAACUGCUCUGUGUGCAGAAUCAACAUCAAGAGAUUUUGAAAGCAUAAUUUUUUGGUAUCUGGGCAGGUGGUAAUCAUUGGUCCUGGCGUCCAU
Otolemur garnettii (small-eared galago) is the source of this 142-nucleotide non-coding RNA. Lineage: Eukaryota; Metazoa; Chordata; Mammalia; Primates; Galagidae. The record is from Rfam.